This 164-nucleotide small nuclear RNA is filed under the name Mus spretus (western wild mouse). Its description in RNAcentral is "predicted gene, 25189 (ENSMSPG00010043977.1)". It matches the Rfam family "U1 spliceosomal RNA". Rfam says of the family: U1 is a small nuclear RNA (snRNA) component of the spliceosome (involved in pre-mRNA splicing). Its 5' end forms complementary base pairs with the 5' splice junction, thus defining the 5' donor site of an intron. The record is from RNAcentral. Lineage: Eukaryota; Metazoa; Chordata; Mammalia; Rodentia; Muridae.
AUACUUACCCGGCAGGGGAGAUACCAUGAUCACGAAGGUGGUUUUCCCAGGGCAAGGCGUAUCCAUUGCACUCCGGAUGUGCUGACCCCUGCGAUUUCCCCAAAUGCGGGAAACUCGACUGCAUAAUUUGUGGUAGUGGGGGACUGUGUUUGCGCUCUCCCCUU